CCUACGGGGGGCAGCAGUGGGGAAUAUUUCGCAAUUUUCUAAAUCCUUCCUCCUCUCCUCCUCUUUCUUUAUGCAUUUCUUCUUCUCUUACACCUCUGUCAGCAGGGAAGAACGGUCACUGUGCUAAUCAGCAGUGAAUUGACGGUACCUGCAAAGGAAGCACCGGCUAACUCCGUGCCAGCAGCCGCGGUAAUACGGAGGGUGCGAGCGUUAAUCGGAAUUACUGGGCGUAAAGCGCUCGUAGGCGGUAUGUCAAGUCAAGGGUGAAAUCCCCGCGCUCAACGUGGGAACUGCCUUUGAAACUGGCAAACUGGAGUGUGUGAGAGGAUAGUGGAAUUCCAGGUGUAGGAGUGAAAUCCGUAGAUAUCUGGAGGAACAUCAGUGGCGAAGGCGACUAUCUGGCACAUAACUGACGCUGAGGAGCGAAAGCGUGGGUAGCAAACAGGAUUAGAUACCCGGGUAGUC
Molecule: ribosomal RNA, 465 nt
Filed under: uncultured bacterium
Lineage: Bacteria
Description: partial 16S ribosomal RNA
Rfam family: Bacterial small subunit ribosomal RNA
Source: RNAcentral